RNAcentral lists this ribosomal RNA (720 nucleotides) under Lactococcus lactis. Its description in RNAcentral is "bacterial SSU rRNA". It matches the Rfam family "Bacterial small subunit ribosomal RNA", at positions 47 to 750 of the family's 1533-position model. The record is from RNAcentral. Lineage: Bacteria; Bacillati; Bacillota; Bacilli; Lactobacillales; Streptococcaceae.
CCUAAUACAUGCAAGUUGAGCGCUGAAGGUUGGUACUUGUACCGACUGGAUGAGCAGCGAACGGGUGAGUAACGCGUGGGGAAUCUGCCUUUGAGCGGGGGACAACAUUUGGAAACGAAUGCUAAUACCGCAUAAAAACUUUAAACACAAGUUUUAAGUUUGAAAGAUGCAAUUGCAUCACUCAAAGAUGAUCCCGCGUUGUAUUAGCUAGUUGGUGAGGUAAAGGCUCACCAAGGCGAUGAUACAUAGCCGACCUGAGAGGGUGAUCGGCCACAUUGGGACUGAGACACGGCCCAAACUCCUACGGGAGGCAGCAGUAGGGAAUCUUCGGCAAUGGACGAAAGUCUGACCGAGCAACGCCGCGUGAGUGAAGAAGGUUUUCGGAUCGUAAAACUCUGUUGGUAGAGAAGAACGUUGGUGAGAGUGGAAAGCUCAUCAAGUGACGGUAACUACCCAGAAAGGGACGGCUAACUACGUGCCAGCAGCCGCGGUAAUACGUAGGUCCCGAGCGUUGUCCGGAUUUAUUGGGCGUAAAGCGAGCGCAGGUGGUUUAUUAAGUCUGGUGUAAAAGGCAGUGGCUCAACCAUUGUAUGCAUUGGAAACUGGUAGACUUGAGUGCAGGAGAGGAGAGUGGAAUUCCAUGUGUAGCGGUGAAAUGCGUAGAUAUAUGGAGGAACACCGGUGGCGAAAGCGGCUCUCUGGCCUGUAACUGACACUGAG